This 494-nucleotide ribosomal RNA is filed under the name uncultured bacterium. Its description in RNAcentral is "partial 16S ribosomal RNA". It matches the Rfam family "Bacterial small subunit ribosomal RNA", at positions 28 to 507 of the family's 1533-position model. The record is from RNAcentral.
GACGAACGCUGGCGGCGUGCUUAACACAUGCAAGUCGAACGGUGAAGCGCCUUCCUUUUUGGUGGGUGUGGAUGAGUGGCGAACGGGUGAGUAACACGUGAGUAACCUGCCCCCUUCUUCUGGAUAACCGCAUGAAAGUGUGGCUAAUACGGGAUAUUCUGGGUCUGUCGCAUGAUGGGUCUGGGAAAGAUAUUGUUUCGGUGGGGGAUGGGCUCGCGGCCUAUCAGCUUGUUGGUGGGGUGAUGGCCUACCAAGGCGGUGACGGGUAGCCGGCCUGAGAGGGUGGACGGUCACACUGGGACUAAGACACGGCCCAGACUCCUACGGGAGGCAGCAGUGGGGAAUAUUGCACAAUGGGCGCAAGCCUGAUGCAGCGACGCCGCGUGAGGGAUGGAGGCCUUCGGGUUGUGAACCUCUUUCGCCAGUGAAGCAGGCCUGCCUCGUUUGUGGGUGGGUUGACGGUAGCUGGAUAAGAAGCGCCGGCUAACUACGUG